UACGGAGGGAGCUAGCGUUGUUCGGAAUUACUGGGCGUAAAGCGCGCGUAGGCGGCUUUGUAAGUUAGAGGUGAAAGCCCGGGGCUCAACUCCGGAACUGCCUUUAAGACUGCAUCGCUUGAAUCCGGGAGAGGUGAGUGGAAUUCCGAGUGUAGAGGUGAAAUUCGUAGAUAUUCGGAAGAACACCAGUGGCGAAGGCGGCUCACUGGACCGGUACUGACGCUGAGGUGCGAAAGCGUGGGGAGCAAACAGG
RNAcentral lists this ribosomal RNA (253 nucleotides) under uncultured bacterium. RNAcentral describes it as "partial 16S ribosomal RNA". It matches the Rfam family "Bacterial small subunit ribosomal RNA", at positions 524 to 776 of the family's 1533-position model. The record is from RNAcentral.